Molecule: transfer RNA, 71 nt
Filed under: Marmota monax (woodchuck)
Lineage: Eukaryota; Metazoa; Chordata; Mammalia; Rodentia; Sciuridae
Rfam family: tRNA
About the family: Transfer RNA (tRNA) molecules are approximately 80 nucleotides in length. Their secondary structure includes four short double-helical elements and three loops (D, anti-codon, and T loops). Further hydrogen bonds mediate the characteristic L-shaped molecular structure. tRNAs have two regions of fundamental functional importance: the anti-codon, which is responsible for specific mRNA codon recognition, and the 3' end, to which the tRNAs corresponding amino acid is attached (by aminoacyl-tRNA synthetases). tRNAs cope with the degeneracy of the genetic code in two manners: having more than one tRNA (with a specific anti-codon) for a particular amino acid; and 'wobble' base-pairing, i.e. permitting non-standard base-pairing at the 3rd anti-codon position.
Source: Rfam by way of RNAcentral
GGGGAUAUAGCUCAAUGGUGGAGUGCUUGCCUACCAUGUGUGAGGCUCUGGGUUUGAACCCAGUAUCUCAA